AAUGAAUGCUAAGGGGGUAGGGGUGGGGGACAAUGUGACAGGGACAAGCAUAUAAAUCUAUUCAUGUCCUAUGUAUCAAUGCCACUCUCACCUUCCGUAAUUAAGAAACAUUGAGUUACAAUGGUUGAUUCGUUUCCAAUCCUGAGUAUUGAACGUGUAGUUCUGAACGUGCAGAGUGAAUGUUGAAUCUCAAGGCUUUCUGCAACAUUGGAAAGCAACUCUAGAUACGGUGUGUGUUCGUCCAUGCAUGCAUGAGUUUGCUCUUUACACCCCUGACUGCCAUGUUUCCCUCCCAGCAGAUGAUGAGCUGGCCCAGCUUCAGGAGAAGCUGCUGGAGACAGAGGGUGAAGUAGAGGAUCGUCUCCAGAAGGAGCAGCACUCCUAACAGAGAUUGGGGCCACCAUCCAUGGACGGUGAAUAUUCGAUCUCCAAUAACAGAUAACGAUAUUCACUCUGAUCUUUCUUAAUAAGCACGACUAGCAGCAAGGUUAGAAGAGCAUCCAAGCAGGAGAAGUUACUGCGGAAGCUGAGUAAGAUCAGCCGGGUGAUGCAGGAGGUACGACUGAUGGAGGGGGCCACACCUGAGAUGGUGCCCUACGCUGCUGACUGAGAGGGCUACCCUGAGGAGACCUACCCCCAGUAUAAGGAGCCCGGAGGCAGGCGCAGCGGCAGUUAUGACCCCAUCACCAUCCUGGAGGAGCCUGCUGCUGACUCAGAUACCCACUGCCGAGGCCCUGGCUGAGGAGGUGGUGGAUGAGGAGGUAGAAGAGGUCACAGAGGAGGAGGAGGAGGAGCAGUAGCUCUGCCCGCCCCCACCUCCUGAAGGAGGAAUGGAAGAAACGGGUAGUAGUCCCACCAGAGGUAAAAAGCUCAAUCAGAUUCAGCGACCACAAAGAUGUGUUUCACUACCCUAAGCAGGAUACGGUCUAUGAAUAUAGGUAUGAAGAGGAGAAGGAAGAGGGGCAAGUGGAUGAGACAGAGGAAGAGGGAGUAGUAGGUGAUGAAGACCCACUGAUGGAGGCCGAGUCUCUCAGUUUUAGUUGUGAUGUCUGUAGUAAUCCAGAAGCAGAAGAAGAGAUGGAAGAAGAGUACAUUCUACUGUCUCAGUCUGAAGAGACAGACAGCUUCACCCCACCAGAUAGGUCUGGGGAGCUGGGGAUUCUCUCAGGUUGAGGAACAGGAGAGAGAGACAGAGGGCAGAGUCAAUGAGGAAACUAGUUCAUCCUAAACUUGCCUCUCUAGCCCUUUGACCUUACUGAAUGUUCUGAAUAUUCCCAAGAAUGUACCUCUCCUUAUGCAAAUCCCCGUUUUCUAUCCUGUCUCCUUGCGUCCCAAGACAGAAUAUGCUGUUCAGUGGGUGAAUUUUGUGAUCCUAACUAGACUACCUAAUCCCCUAAUAUUCAUGCUGCUUUAAAGAAAACCAUUUACCCACAAUUCAUCAUGUCCUUUGAUGGUAGACAUCAAACUGACUAACUUUAUUCCAAUAUGGCAGUCAAGCAUUGUAGAGACCCUGGUGUCCUCUGGGAUAGAUUGUAAACAGAGAGAGAGCAGGGACCCACAUAAAUGAGUAAACAGAGGUAGAUCGUUCAAGUCCAGCUUUUGUAUCUCAGACUAUUAAAGUGGACACAUUCUAUUAAAAGGUCAUAUGAAAAAUAUUUUUUCAAACCAGCAACUAUUAAGCCCAGAAUGUAUUCGUAAUAAAAAAUGAAUUGUCCAUGAGUUGUAUAUGAGUCUCCUGUUUUCCUGUUGAAUACACUGUACUGCUGUCCUCGAGGACACUGUCCACUAUCCUAGUGUAACAGUUUUGCUUCCGUC
This is a long non-coding RNA of Oncorhynchus tshawytscha (Chinook salmon), 1815 nucleotides long. The record is from Ensembl. Lineage: Eukaryota; Metazoa; Chordata; Actinopteri; Salmoniformes; Salmonidae.